Long non-coding RNA from Vigna unguiculata (cowpea), 542 nucleotides. RefSeq lists it as uncharacterized. NCBI's taxonomy places the organism in Eukaryota, Viridiplantae, Streptophyta, Magnoliopsida, Fabales, Fabaceae. The record is from RefSeq and is a predicted model, not a curated record.
AAUCAAGUUUAUUGGUGCAACACCCCUCUUUUCCAGAAACAGAGCCAAACCCCCUCUCAUUUUCUUCUUCUCUGCAAACUCAACUCUCCCCUCUGUCUCCCUCUCUCUGAUCCUUGCUUUUAUCUCACCAACCUUGCUUCUUGAUCAGGUCUUAGAGAGGAAGCCACGCCUGAGCCUUCUGCUGCCUCCACUCAUAGCCUUUCAUCUCCUAGGUUGGACUGAGGAAUUCUGCUCCCCUCUCCUAGGUUGUCUUCACCCAAGCUUUAACUCAAAAAUAGAUAUAGGUGCAGGUGAGGAUACACCCCUCCGGGACAGGAGGUGAUUAUGUUAGGCAUACCAGUGGUAGAUGUACCCUUUUCUUUUGCUUAGAUGUUCGGGUGUUUUGUAACCCUUUAGUAGUGUAUGGGCUGUAUGUUUUGAUCAGUGUAUGUAUGGUUAUUUUGAGGAUGAGUGUAUUAUAUAUUACACUGACCUACGUCAUCAUCUGCUUCUGAACUAUUAAAAUUUAAAUGUUUUGUUUAAUAGUUUAAAAACUAUGAAAA